Long non-coding RNA from Empidonax traillii (willow flycatcher), 1858 nucleotides. RefSeq lists it as uncharacterized. The record is from RefSeq and is a predicted model, not a curated record. NCBI's taxonomy places the organism in Eukaryota, Metazoa, Chordata, Aves, Passeriformes, Tyrannidae. The transcript has 2 exons.
CUCAAACAUCUUUACUGACAGGACAAAAUAAAACCUUUUUAACAUUGUCCCUAACAGUGAGAAUGAUCAGGUUUUGAGGGAGAAGGUUAUGACAUCAGGGGAUUUUAUGUAACAAUAUGCUUUCUAAGGCUGGGCUACUGGUAGACAAAUGUAAACAAAUUCAAAAUUAAAAUGUGAAUGUAUCUCUUCAAUUUACCCAGUUGUUUUAUUAAAUGAGUUGGCUAAUUUAUUUUUUUAAAUACUGCUGCUCAUGUUUGGAGAAAGACAAGCUAGGACAGAGAGUAAAUUUGGGGAUUCUCUCAAUUCUGUUGUUCUGUUAUGCAAACUGAUGUUUUUUUGUGAUUUUAUGUGAAUUAUUAAUAGUGAAGUGUAGUGUUUCUAUCUGUAGUUUCUUGGUAUUUGAUAUGACUUUGGAAUUAUAUCAUUCUUGCGACUAAAAUGGCAGAGGUCAGGCAGAGGAAGGAGCUGCUGUGUAAGGGGUAGGAAUUGUCACAUCAGGCUUUGGAGGGGGGCCCGUUCCAGUUCUUUUUUGCUACAUUACCAGUUUUCUGUUGGCAGGAUCAGAAAAGCUUCCUGAAGAAGACAAAUUAGGGGUUGGGGGAUAGAACCAACGUGUCUGUUCGAGACCUCAAAGUAUUAAUGGAAAGUAUUUCAAGCUUGCUUUAGGGUAGAGCCCCAGGGGCAGUGUCUGUCCUGAGGGGGUGUGUGAUGGGUGAUGUGGAGCUCAGGAUUUUUAAUAAUCUCUGUUCUCUUAGGGUUUGAAGGCACGACAUCCAAAAUUAAUUAGCACAUUUCAUGCCCGUUUUGGUGCUCACCUUGAGUUCUGUUUCUCACAGGGCAAAACUCUGCUGGGCUGCAGAGGCUCGUCUGUGUAAGACAGUCUGGAAGCCCAAGCAAUGGCUCUUGGGAACCUGUCUGGGAUUUAAAACUAGGGAGUUUACAGCCAGUUGUUCUGUGCUACAGCGUGGCCCAAAAUCUGCUGCCUUUGGAUUCAGCUGCUUUCUCCUGCCCUCACCCCCCUUCCUCUUACAAUGAUGUUGUUGAGAAGAGAAUAGAGCAGUUGUGAAAGAAAGUUAUGAGACAACCUCAGCCAAAGCUUAAAGGAGACGGGGAAAGCUAAACAGUCCUAAAUCCAUCACCUUGGACGCUGAAAAACAGAUUUAAGGGGGAAAUCCUUCAUUCCCCAGGUGAGUGAUCCAGUUUGGGAUCCUUAUAUAAAUUUUGCAGGUCAGAGAAUGUAUCUCUCUGAAAGGCCAGGAUAUCUCCAAUUUAGGAACUGCAAAAAAAGCACUUGGUGCAUCCAUUCUAGAGCUGGGACAGUGAAAGGUGAGUUUAAUGAUCAGUUUACAAAUCAGCUGGAACUUGCUUUGAGACAAGGAAACGCUCUGCUUUUAAGCAAUUUUCAAUAUAUAAAUAUAAUUCCAGCUUUUAAGUUGAUGUUUGAAGGAGACCAGAACUGACAUCACAUCAACAACCUCAGACCCACCUUGUUUUGUCUCGCAGUUACUUCUGUUACCUGGCAAAGUGUCACGUGUUCAAUGUCUGGAAAAACACUGUUGUGUAACUGUGAAUCUCCAGGUACAAACAAAAAUGCUUCAUCUUGAGGUUCUGCUGGAGAAGGAAGAGCUCUUUAGCCAAAACUCAUUAGCUUAAUGAUGCUGCUGUAAUUUCCUACCCCUUUUGAAAGUUAUAACCUUUACCUCCAGUUGAAUGUAUUGGCUGCUUUGUAAAGGGCUAAUGAUUAAAAAAUACAAAUUUAUGCUAAAAGAAUUUGUAGAGAGCAAGGAGCAGAGGGAAUGGCAGAGAAUGCCAGGGUGGAUAUUUUUUAAAAAAACAUAUGAAUAAAAGGCAAACAGUU